Molecule: transfer RNA, 73 nt
Filed under: Zea mays
Lineage: Eukaryota; Viridiplantae; Streptophyta; Magnoliopsida; Poales; Poaceae
Rfam family: tRNA
About the family: Transfer RNA (tRNA) molecules are approximately 80 nucleotides in length. Their secondary structure includes four short double-helical elements and three loops (D, anti-codon, and T loops).
Source: Rfam by way of RNAcentral
GGUUGUUUAACUCAGUUGGUAGAGUGUAAGGCCCUUAACCUUGUGGUUGUGGGUUCAAGCCCCACAGUAGGUG